This 237-nucleotide unclassified non-coding RNA is filed under the name Hevea brasiliensis (rubber tree). The record is from RNAcentral. Lineage: Eukaryota; Viridiplantae; Streptophyta; Magnoliopsida; Malpighiales; Euphorbiaceae.
UGAAGGGCUUCCUUCAACAAAGGUUUUGCGUCCAUAACAGUUGUGGCAUCGUAGUGGAUGCCAAUGUAUUUAUCUGUAAAAGGGUUCCACUCCUGAACAUCCAUACCAUUUAUGAUACCAGUAAUGCCAGUUUUGCGAAUGAUGUUAUCCAGCUCCACACCUCUUUCAACUCCAGAGAUAACUUCCUGGGCAUAGUAUGGGCUCACACUCAAAACCCUGUCUGAUUCCAAUAUUCCA